RNAcentral lists this ribosomal RNA (503 nucleotides) under uncultured bacterium. RNAcentral's name for it is "partial 16S ribosomal RNA". It matches the Rfam family "Bacterial small subunit ribosomal RNA", at positions 30 to 523 of the family's 1533-position model. The record is from RNAcentral.
AUUGAACGCUGGCGGCAGGCUUAACACAUGCAAGUCGAGCGGGGUGAUGGUGCUUGCACUAUCACUUAGCGGCGGACGGGUGAGUAAUGCUUAGGAAUCUGCCUAUUAGUGGGGGACAACAUCUCGAAAGGGAUGCUAAUACCGCAUAAGUUCUACGGGAGAAAGCAGAGGAUCACUUGUGACCUUGCGCUAAUAGAUGAGCUUAAGUCGGAUUAGCUAGUUGGGGGGGUAAAGGCCGACCAAGGAGACGAUCUGUGGCGGGUCGGAGAGGAUGAUCCGCCACACUGGGACUGAGACACGGCCCAGACUCCUACGGGAGGCAGCAGUGGGGAAUAUUGGACAAUGGGGGGAACCCUGAUCCAGCCAUGCCGCGUGUGUGAAGAAGGCCUUAUGGUUGUAAAGCACUUUAAGCGAGGAGGAGGCUCUUUUGGUUAAUACCCAAGAUGAGUGGACGUUACUCGCAGAAUAAGCACCGGCUAACUCUGUGCCAGCCGCCGCCGUAA